Molecule: ribosomal RNA, 253 nt
Filed under: uncultured bacterium
Lineage: Bacteria
Description: partial 16S ribosomal RNA
Rfam family: Bacterial small subunit ribosomal RNA
Source: RNAcentral
GACGUAGGGGGCCAGCGUUGUUCGGAAUUACUGGGUGUAAAGGGUUCGUAGGCGGUGCGGCAAGUCGGGAGUGAAAUCUCUGGGCUCAACCCAGAGGCUGCUUCCGAAACUGCUGUGCUUGAGUGUGGGAGAGGCGCGUGGAAUUGCAGGUGUAGCGGUGAAAUUCGUAGAUAUCGGGAGGAACACCGGUGGCGAAGGCGGCGACCUGGGUCGAUACUGACGCUGAGGUGCGAAAGCGUGGGGAGCAAACAGG